Long non-coding RNA from Hirundo rustica (Barn swallow), 1835 nucleotides. RefSeq lists it as uncharacterized. The transcript has 4 exons. The record is from RefSeq and is a predicted model, not a curated record. NCBI's taxonomy places the organism in Eukaryota, Metazoa, Chordata, Aves, Passeriformes, Hirundinidae.
GAGAGAGCGAGAGAAGAAGGCAAGGAGGGCAGAAACGCGGAGUGCCGCUUCCCGCUUCCCCUGGCCAGGUUGCUCGAGGAUCUCCAGGCGAACAGGCGGCCGCGCCCGCACUCGGGGUACAGGGAAAGGCCAGCCCGGGGGCACCGGGCCGGCACCGGGCUAGGGCAGGAGCAGGGCCCGGGCCAGCCCGGCGCUGUCCCCCGAUCUCUGCGGGAAACGGGCUCCUUUGUUCAGCGGGAGCUGCCGAGCGCUGCCCCAAGUCCCGCGCUGCCCGAAGUGCUGCCAACUGGGGCCAACUUGAGUGAGUCCUCACCCGCCCUCCUCCUGACGAGGCUCUGGCCGCAGCCCCUGGAGCGGACAGGGAGACAAGGAGAAGGAGGUGGAGAAAAAGGGGGGAAGCGAGGGUGGGGGGUAGGAGCCAGUUGCUGGAAGGCGGAGGAAGGGAUAGGUGAUUCUCGCUCCUCUUUUCCAGAUCUUCUGAGGAUUGUUGUAAUUAAUCAAAUCCAGGAAGGAUUUUUUUUUUUUUUUUAAAGCGGCUCCCAAGAGCUCUCCCAGCUGCACUGCACCGCCCCAACCAGCCUGAAGGGAGAAGCAACCGAGGAGCACCCAGACCACGCACACUCGCUGCGCCUGCAGCUCCGGCCGGUUCUCCUCGCCUCCUCCCCAGCCUACCAGGUCCUUCGUCCUUCAGAACUUUCCCUGAUGUUGUGUGCCAGCCUCGUCUGGGUGCGUCGCCUCCGUGCUUGCCUGCUCCGCCCGCCUCGCAGAGGAUUUGGAGCUGUACAGGGGCCCGUGUCCCCUUGCCUCGAUGCCUGCCGGAGCUCCUACUGGGAACUAACGGGCUCCAACUGGAAGGUAGCCGACAAUGAGGGACAAGAAGCUGGACAAAGUUGAGCUACUCCUGCCAGACACCAGCUGGAAACCGCCUGGGAGGUCCCUACCCCCCGCUUUUUCCUGAAGCGCCAAAAUCUCCUGCAAAAGUUGCCGGGAAUGUCCCCGCUCCGCAGGCGGCCCCAGGGCGCUCCGCUCCACCGCCCCCCGACGGGGCGUGCGGGGCUUCCCGCUCCCGCCCGCGCCUCACACCUCCCUGCCUGCCAGCUCUGCCAGCCGCGCCUUAUUUUCUAUUCUAUUGGCUUUCCAGGUUUUCCCCCUACCCUCUUCGCCAUUUCAUUCCCCUUCGCUACUGAAAAAAAAAAAAAAAAGAAAAGGAGCCAAUUAAAGCGGGCGUGCUGGGGAGAGCCCUGCCUCCUGCCCAGUUCUGCGAGCCUCCCCACGCCUCGCCUCGGCCCAAUUGUAGGCAAGACCGCAGGGGUGGGAGAAAGAGGGACUUGCUUCGGGCGGGAGGCCGAUUGUCGGUCCGAGGUACCCUCAUCCUCAGGACCCUCGCGACAAGAGCAGCGCCAUAUUCCAUCAGGAUGCACAAACCAGUCUUCUGAAGGAACAAAACCCAUUUGGAAUUUGAUUUACAGCUCUUCAGCAGCCCUCAGAUUUGCAGAAUGAGGGAGACAAGUGCCACCUCUCCACCCAUCAUCAGGGAGGACUGGAGGAACCAGCAAUAUCCAGUCCCGCCCUUGCAAUGAAGCCAGUGGAGUUGGAAAGGCUGAUAUGAAGGGGGAGUCAGGGAAGGAUAAGGUGAAAAGUGUUUCCUUGUGCCUGAAGAUCCAGUCCAGCUGCCCUGGGUACACCUGGUCUUGGGAAGUAACCUGGAGUUGGGUCAUUGCAGCUGACAGGGGAUGAGCUCAUCCCUGCUCCAAACAUCCUGUGUGAGGUGUCUCAUGUUAAAUAUUCUUCUGUAUUCGCUGUGUACCUCUGAGUCCCUGAGAAUGGCAGACAUA